GUGGGCGUAGCUCAGCGGUAGAGCCCCUGACUGUGGAUCAGGUGGUCGUCGGUUCAAAUCCGAUCGCCCACCCCA
RNAcentral lists this transfer RNA (75 nucleotides) under Acidobacteriota bacterium. Its description in RNAcentral is "tRNA-His". It matches the Rfam family "tRNA". From Rfam's summary of the family: Transfer RNA (tRNA) molecules are approximately 80 nucleotides in length. RNAcentral also lists the same sequence under 1 other name. Lineage: Bacteria; Pseudomonadati; Acidobacteriota. The record is from RNAcentral.